Molecule: transfer RNA, 72 nt
Filed under: Candidatus Heimdallarchaeota archaeon
Lineage: Archaea; Promethearchaeati; Candidatus Heimdallarchaeota
Description: tRNA-Thr
Rfam family: tRNA
About the family: Transfer RNA (tRNA) molecules are approximately 80 nucleotides in length.
Source: RNAcentral
GCCUCUGUAGCUUAGUGGUAUAGCGUUACAUUGGUAAUGUAAAGGUCGCGGGUUCAAUUCCCGCCAGGGGCU